RNAcentral lists this long non-coding RNA (304 nucleotides) under Nicotiana benthamiana. RNAcentral's name for it is "long non-coding RNA (NBEN_LNC015235)". Lineage: Eukaryota; Viridiplantae; Streptophyta; Magnoliopsida; Solanales; Solanaceae. The record is from RNAcentral.
UUAUAUGUAGAUCCGCCCCGGGGGUGGGGAUGCAGAGAUGAAAAGGCAUGAACUUGCGAGUUAAGGAAAACCCCAUCUUCCUAACUUGAUCAAAGUCGGAAGGCUGAUAAAUGUAUUUUUUAUUUUAUUUUCACAGCGCAAAGAAAUAUCUUGUUUUAUAAAUUCAGUCCAGAUGUUUCUGAUGUAGAUAGUUGUUCAUGUUGGUGGACUUUCAGUAGCAAUAGUCGUUAGAAUGGUUGAAAUAAGUGAUAUCAUCUUUUUAUGCAACUAUGUAUGUAUGGUUGAGUGUGGAUUCACAUGGAGA